UACGGGGGGGGCAAGCGUUGUUCGGAAUUACUGGGCGUAAAGGGCUCGUAGGCGGCCAACUAAGUCGGACGUGAAAUCCCCAGGCUCAACCUGGGAACUGCGUCCGAUACUGGAUGGCUUGAAUCCGGGAGAGGGAUGCAGAAUUCCAGGUGUAGCGGUGAAAUGCGUAGAUAUCUGGAGGAAUACCGGUGGCGAAGGCGGCAUCCUGGACCGGCAUUGACGCUGAGGAGCGAAAGCCAGGGGAGCAAAGCGGG
RNAcentral lists this ribosomal RNA (254 nucleotides) under uncultured bacterium. Its description in RNAcentral is "partial 16S ribosomal RNA". It matches the Rfam family "Bacterial small subunit ribosomal RNA", at positions 524 to 777 of the family's 1533-position model. The record is from RNAcentral.